GAGGGUAUAGCUCAGUGGUAGAGUGUGUGCGUAGCAUGCAGUACUGGGUUCAACCCCCAGUACCUCCA
Molecule: transfer RNA, 68 nt
Filed under: Camelus bactrianus (Bactrian camel)
Lineage: Eukaryota; Metazoa; Chordata; Mammalia; Artiodactyla; Camelidae
Also listed under: 3 other names
Rfam family: tRNA
About the family: Transfer RNA (tRNA) molecules are approximately 80 nucleotides in length. Their secondary structure includes four short double-helical elements and three loops (D, anti-codon, and T loops). Further hydrogen bonds mediate the characteristic L-shaped molecular structure. tRNAs have two regions of fundamental functional importance: the anti-codon, which is responsible for specific mRNA codon recognition, and the 3' end, to which the tRNAs corresponding amino acid is attached (by aminoacyl-tRNA synthetases). tRNAs cope with the degeneracy of the genetic code in two manners: having more than one tRNA (with a specific anti-codon) for a particular amino acid; and 'wobble' base-pairing, i.e. permitting non-standard base-pairing at the 3rd anti-codon position.
Source: Rfam by way of RNAcentral